UUUUUUCAGGCAGUUGGGAUAUGCAUGACUGAUCCAAAUGGCUGACAAAGGGACCUGAGCCAUUUCCAGUGUGGAUACAGCUUUAUGGCCAGAGAAGAAUAACAAGCAAACAAGUAAGAAGCAAUUGCAGCCAAAAUGAAAAAUGAAGAGAUCCUUUCUCCAGCCAAUGCCAACUGUAAUAUUAGAAGACAGAUAUUAAAGGGUAGUCACCUCCACAGAAGCUCAAAGCAACCAUUCCAUUCAUUCCAACUUUUACUCUUCAAAAGAGACUUUAUCUUGAAGUUCUGGGGACAUCUUAAUCUACUUCCUGCACCAGCAACAUCCAUUUGAAGAUCCAAGGCACCAUGCUGUCUGAAUGGCCAUCCCCUGGAUUGUGUGCUGGGCAGCACUUGCCUAUUAUUGAGGAAAGCAAUUAUAAACCAACUGGGUGUGGAAAUUCACUCCCACCAUCCUGGGAAGCUCUGAAACUGCACACGGAAUUCCAUGACCAAAAAAAAGAGGAAGUCCUUUUACUGGUUGAUUUCUGGUUAUAAAAAGUAAUAUAUGAUCUUCAAACACAAUUCUAACAAUGCAUGGAAAUGUAAAUUAAAAAAUUAAAAUUAUCCAAAACCUCACCUCUUUGGUAAUUAUUAUAAACACUCUUUCAUAUAUAUGUAUUCAUAUACGCAUAUGAAAUUUUACCCAAAAUGAUGUGCGUGCUGCCUUGACAUCCAUUAUUAUUACAUACCAAAAUUUAUGUCCCUCUAGCUAAGCCCCUCAGCACCCCAUGUCAAUAAAUGUAGAUCGACAUCAUUAUUCUUAAUGACUAUGUAGUAUUCCACUGAGUGCAUAUAUCAUAAAGCAUUUAAGCAAUUCUUUAUCAGUGGAUAAUAGAUACUUAUGCUGCUUCAAUUUUUUGCUACCAUAAACAAUACCAUGGUGGAACUCCUGUACAUAAUGUAUCUGUAUGUGUAAUGACAUAUUUGCCACCUUAUUGACUAUUCUGUUUCCCAUCCAUUGGGCUUGUGUACAGCACUGAUCACAUCACUCAAUGGUGUGCAAUCUUAGAAAGCUUACUUGAGCACUCCAGGUCUCAGUUUCUUCCAUGGGGUCAUUUCUCGUGAUCUUGAGGGUCCCCUCUAGUAUUAACAUUAUAUGGUCACUUUCCCAAAUCUAAAACCUUACGCGAAGCAUGUGUAAAUGGAUGCCAACCAGCUCUCUCUGGCCUCUUUCCUUCUCUUUUUAUGUCAUGAGCAAUGAUUGACAGUUCAUAUUGCUGUCCUUCUGAUCUUUCAUCUGAGAACAUGAAGCCAAAGGAGUCUGCCUAACCUUAAAGACGUAGGGCUGAGUGGUUGCCAGGAAUCUGAUAUUUUAAAGAUCCCUUAGUUCUGGCUAAAUCUCCACAGACUACUCCAUUAGCAUUUUCAGUUCCGGCACAUCCAUUUCCCAAAAUUUCAGACUCCUGGCAUCGUUUGAACCUCACUUUAUGCCUCAACUCCCACAGCUCAGCAUGUGACCCUAGU
RNAcentral lists this long non-coding RNA (1502 nucleotides) under Papio anubis (olive baboon). RNAcentral describes it as "lncRNA (ENSPANG00000038011.1)". Lineage: Eukaryota; Metazoa; Chordata; Mammalia; Primates; Cercopithecidae. The record is from RNAcentral.